Molecule: ribosomal RNA, 233 nt
Filed under: uncultured bacterium
Lineage: Bacteria
Description: partial 16S ribosomal RNA
Rfam family: Bacterial small subunit ribosomal RNA
Source: RNAcentral
CGGGACGGGUGAGUAAUGUCUGGGAAACUGCCUGAUGGAGGGAGAUAACUACUGGAAACGGUAGCUAAUACCGCAUAACGUCGCAAGACCAAAGAGGGGGACCUUCGGGCCUCUUGCCAUCGGAUGUGCCCAGAUGGGAUUAGCUAGUAGGUGGGGUAAAGGCUCACCUAGGCGACGAUCCCUAGCUGGUCUGAGAGGAUGACCAGCCACACUGGAACUGAGACACGGUCCAG